GUCCCCGUAGCUCAAUCUGGAUAGGGCACCGGCCUCCGAAGCCGGCUAUGGCAGUUCGAAUCUGCCCGGGGACACCA
Molecule: transfer RNA, 77 nt
Filed under: Candidatus Aquitaenariimonas noxiae
Lineage: Bacteria; Pseudomonadati; Candidatus Omnitrophota
Description: Candidatus Omnitrophica bacterium CG07_land_8_20_14_0_80_42_15 tRNA-Arg
Rfam family: tRNA
About the family: Transfer RNA (tRNA) molecules are approximately 80 nucleotides in length. Their secondary structure includes four short double-helical elements and three loops (D, anti-codon, and T loops). Further hydrogen bonds mediate the characteristic L-shaped molecular structure. tRNAs have two regions of fundamental functional importance: the anti-codon, which is responsible for specific mRNA codon recognition, and the 3' end, to which the tRNAs corresponding amino acid is attached (by aminoacyl-tRNA synthetases). tRNAs cope with the degeneracy of the genetic code in two manners: having more than one tRNA (with a specific anti-codon) for a particular amino acid; and 'wobble' base-pairing, i.e. permitting non-standard base-pairing at the 3rd anti-codon position.
Source: RNAcentral